This 305-nucleotide ribosomal RNA is filed under the name uncultured bacterium. RNAcentral's name for it is "bacterial SSU rRNA". It matches the Rfam family "Bacterial small subunit ribosomal RNA", at positions 335 to 638 of the family's 1533-position model. The record is from RNAcentral.
UAACCUACGGGGCGCAGCAGUGAGGAAUAUUGGUCAAUGGGCGAGAGCCUGAACCAGCCAAGUCGCGUGAGGGAAGACGGUCCUAUGGAUUGUAAACCUCUUUUGCCGGGGAGCAAAAAGCGGUACGUGUACCGCAUCGAGAGUACCCGGAGAAAAAGCAUCGGCUAACUCCGUGCCAGCAGCCGCGGUAAUACGGAGGAUGCGAGCGUUAUCCGGAUUUAUUGGGUUUAAAGGGUGCGUAGGCGGACGCUUAAGUCAGCGGUAAAAUUGCGGGGCUCACCCUCGUCGAGCCGUUGAAACUGGGG